Oncorhynchus masou masou (cherry salmon) is the source of this 1250-nucleotide long non-coding RNA. RefSeq lists it as uncharacterized. NCBI's taxonomy places the organism in Eukaryota, Metazoa, Chordata, Actinopteri, Salmoniformes, Salmonidae. The transcript is spliced from 2 exons. The record is from RefSeq and is a predicted model, not a curated record.
GUUAGCAGCUAGCUAGCGUUAACUAUAUAUCUAUCACAAAGUCCUGUCUCUAACAAGUAUUAAAGACUACAUAUGGUUAGGUGCCUCUCGUGGUGAACGCCCACCCUGACCCUGUCUGCAUUCGUGGGGUGACCAUGAGGCAGCUGAGGAAGGCUAGACCCAGGUCCAGGUUUACUAUGAACCCAGUCACCAGGCAUUAAAUGGGAUCCUGAAGGAAAAGCAAGACUUCCUGAUAGACUACCACCCAGGGGAUCUCCCACCACUCUCUGUGAAGGCUGAAGCCUAAGAUGACCUGCUCUGUUCAUCAUGGAUACUGUGGUGCUUGUAUCAUAGGAACAGGAGGGUCUAUCUCUAUCAGCCCCAGGUCCUGCUUCAUCCCUGCACUGAGACUGCAAAGAGAAGGGUCUGGGCUGCAGACUGGAUCCCUGACUGGAGCCUCUAUCUCUCUGAUGAGCACCAGGACUGAGGUUGUUCAGUCCACCUGUCCACUGGUUGUGUUCUGUGUAGUGGUGGAAUCUCUGUCCCUCGUCGGUUGGUCCUAGUUCCGAAUCGGGACGGAAUAACAAUGGCUCCUGAUCCAGGGUUCUGAUCCGGGGCCAGGGUUUGUGACCAGCCUCUUCAGAGGUCCACUCUCUCCCGCCAGCAACACCGGAUAUCAGCAGGUCUUCAUGGACUGCAGACUAAACACACAUUUUACAAAAGAGCAUAUAAAAGGUUCAUAUAAGAAACUCUGCUGUACACACAGUAACAUGACAUAUUAUAAAAUGUUCACCCACAGUCAAGCCCAUCUCUAACACUGUGAUUCAAGUAUCCAACAAUAUGGACCAUUGGAGUUUUAUUUUAUUUUUUAAAGCCAUGUGUUGAUUCAAUAAUUAAGUAUAAUUUUUUGGUUCGACUGAAAUAAGGGAAACUCAGUCCCUGCAAUGAUACAAAAAAACAAGCCAGUCAGCAGAGUCACAUUUGUAUUUAAUUUCAACUAAAAUAGUAAUACACUUACAUAAUGUAAAGUACAGUACUUUUUUAUUAAAUAAAACAAUAAGUUGGGCUGUGGUGGUCAUGACAUUUUGUUAGCUGGUUAUUGUCAUGCAAAACUGUCAGUCUCACGUAAUUGACCAGUAAUUAACAUAAACACGUUGAGCAUCUCCAGGCCUCCAUGCAUACAAGCUGCUGAUGAACUUUGGAACAUCUACAUUUAACAAUAUCAAAUCAGUUGAAUAUACACCAUCACAAUAAAGCCAAGAUUUAUUUUA